RNAcentral lists this long non-coding RNA (965 nucleotides) under Rattus norvegicus (Norway rat). RNAcentral describes it as "long non-coding RNA NONRATT014086". Lineage: Eukaryota; Metazoa; Chordata; Mammalia; Rodentia; Muridae. The record is from RNAcentral.
AUUCUGUGUCACAUUUUUAGAAAGAACAUAUUUUGAACUGUAAAAGUAUCACUGAGGAGUGAAUCUUUAAACAGCCUUUAAAAACCCGUCAGCCUGAGGCUCUUGCCUUGGGUACCUACUCAUUUUGUAGUCAAGUUACACUAAUGUCGGUUGAAACAGGCUUCAUUCACUUCAGUUGAUGCUCUGUGGCGUCAAGAACAUCCAAGUUACCUACUCUUAGAUUGCCUGAAUAUUGGGACAAACCCAGGCCUCUUAGCCGCUUGCAUCCCACUUUUUGAAAAUAAAGCAAUAGGUCAGUAGUAAAACCAUGCUUACACAGACCUGAUAAAAUGCCGCUUUAAUUAAAUGUUAUGAAAAGUUGCUGUCUCAUUAAGUUGACUAUCUGAAUUUGGGGGAGCACUGACUGUUUGAUUUUCUAUGUAGAAAACUAAGAUUCUUAGGCUUGCAGAGGUCGAUGCAGAGUGGCUAAGCCAGCAGUGCAUGUGGGUUGUUUGACCCACUCCCUGCUCGGUGCCUCACUUGGAUUACAUCUGUCCUAAGGCGGUGGUGAAAGGACAGUAUAGGAUGGAAACACCUGAUGGUGACUUUAAAACAUGUCCACUGAGAUCCAAGUCAUACCAGGUCCACACCGUUUACAUUUGUCAAAGGAACAACAGGACAGAAAUGGGAAUUCAGAUUUUUCAAUGUAUUUUACCAUCUCUGAGCCUAAUAGCACUUGAGUGCAUUUCUAGAGCUAUUAGAACGUGGACGUAAAAUGUCCCAAAACUAAUCAAGACCUGUGAGGGUUAAAUUACUGCCCUAUCCACUCUACCUCCAUUGUACAAAAAAUAUUUUGCAACAAGCCUGGCAAAAUUCAACCACAUAGUAGUUUUGUAUUUGAGGUUACUUCCCCAUAACACUUUAAGGUAAGCAAUGCAGUGAUAAUAGAAACUUUGUAGCCUUUCCAAUAAAGGUUUAUAAAAUCA